Molecule: long non-coding RNA, 295 nt
Filed under: Hordeum vulgare
Lineage: Eukaryota; Viridiplantae; Streptophyta; Magnoliopsida; Poales; Poaceae
Description: long non-coding RNA (HVUL_LNC010137)
Source: RNAcentral
CCUAUAUUCCAGAAACCCUGAGGAGGGGGACGAAAAUCAAUUCCAGCCACCGCAGAGUCCAAAAACACCAGAUCCAAUCGAGACACCAUCACGAAGGGGUUCAUCAUGUCCAUUGGUGCCUCUCCGAUGAUGUGUGAGUAGUUCUUUGUAGACCUAUGGGUCCGUAGUUAGUAGCUAGAUGCCUUCCUCUCUCUCUCUUGAUUAUCAGUACAAUGGUCUCUUGGAGAUCCAUAUGAUGUAAGUCCUUUUGCGGUGUGUUUAUUGGGAUCCGAUGAACUUUUAGUUUAUGAUCAAA